CCUACGGGAGGCAGCAGUGGGGAAUAUUGGGCAAUGGAGGAAACUCUGACCCAGCGACGCCGCGUGCGGGAUGAAGGCCUUCGGGUUGUAAACCGCUUUCAGUAGGGAAGAAGCGAAAGUGACGGUACCUACAAAAGAAGCACCGGCUAACUAUGUGCCAGCAGCCGCGGUAAUACAUAGGGUGCAAGCGUUGUCCGGAAUUAUUGGGCGUAAAGAGCUCGUAGGUCGUUUGUUACGUCGGAUGUGAAAACCUGAGGCUCAACCUCAGGCCUGCAUUCGAUACGGGCAAACUAGAGUUUGGUAGGGGAGACUGGAAUUCCUGGUGUAGCGGUGGAAUGCGCAGAUAUCAGGAGGAACACCAAUGGCGAAGGCAGGUCUCUGGGUCAAUACUGACACUGAGGAGCGAAAGUCUGGGGAGCGAACAGGAUUAGAUACCCUGGUAGUCCAGACCGUAAACGGUGGGCACUAGUUGUGGGAACCUUCCACGGUUUCUGCGACGCAGCUAACGCAUUAAGUGCCCCGCCUGGGGAGUACGAUCGCAGAUUAAACUCAAAGGAAUUGACGG
RNAcentral lists this ribosomal RNA (565 nucleotides) under uncultured bacterium. RNAcentral's name for it is "bacterial SSU rRNA". It matches the Rfam family "Bacterial small subunit ribosomal RNA", at positions 338 to 916 of the family's 1533-position model. The record is from RNAcentral.